Molecule: long non-coding RNA, 2128 nt
Organism: Mauremys reevesii (Reeves's turtle)
Lineage: Eukaryota; Metazoa; Chordata; Testudines; Geoemydidae
Exons: 3
Source: RefSeq, a predicted model, not a curated record
UGGCGCCUCCCCCGCGCGCGGGGCCCCAGCGACCCCGCCACUUCCCCGCGCUGGGCGGGAGGGUCCGUGACUCAGCGCCAGCUCCGGGCCCGGGGGCCGCGCCUCGUCAAAGCGACCCUCCGCCUCCCGCCUUGCAGCCGCCGCGAGCCGAGGGGCAAAGCCGCCAUCACGGGCACCCCCCGGGCUGCCUCAGCAGACAUGAAACCGCGCAGCCGGGGCGGGCGGGGGAGGAGCCCUGCGCUGGAUCCCGGCCUCCCCAGGAACCGGCAGCGGCCGUUUAAACCCGUGUCACGGCCACAAGCUUUAGCCUCCAACUUUUCCCCACGUGGCAGAACAAUGGCUCGGCCGCCGCUGGGCCUGCGAGCGCGUGAUUCGCUGAGGAGAAGAGAAGCGAAUGACUCUGACAGCAACACCGAUACGUUACACGUUACACACCUGUUGCACAAGACCUUCCUUCCAAACCCGCUGCUCUGGAGGAGGCUCUUCCUUGACAACUUAGUUCAGUUUCACCCAUAUUGUGAGGAGAGAAAGAAUAAAAUCACCCAGCUCUGAUACUAGAACUCCACUACCUGCAGUUUAUAGACUCUUACAUGCCUAGCCGUCUUCUCCUAUAAGAGGCAACUAAGAGGAUUAGGGAACACUGCAAACCGCUGAGAUAAUCUAGGAUAUUAAGGGAUAUGUUUUCACAUGCGGAAAAUAUAUUUUCUAGUUUCAUGUACUUGAGAGAAAUAAAACCAAUAAACCCCUAGCCAGGGCUGAUGCACAAACACUUUCUCUACCAAAAAAGUGCAAGAUGUAGGAGGAAUGAGAGAAGCAACUGCAAGAAUUUUCUUCAACUUCUAGCUAAAUGGCAUCAAUAGCAAUCAUUCACCAUUUGGUCUGUUCCUGUAUGGCUGCGAGGGCUUGACAGGUCAAAAGUGCAUGGCCUGUACAGAUUUGAUUGCAAGAAUACUCGUGACAAAGAGUCAUGAACUGCAUCUCAGCUUUUAAGAAAGUAAUGAACUUGACUUGAGCAGGUAACCAGACACUGUGGAAGUGACAGCUAGAAUGCCGAUUAAAAGAGGUCUAAAAUUUAAGUCUGCCUGCUGUUUGAAAAGUAACAUGGAAAAUUAAAAUCUCCCAUUAAGGAAAUUCACUCCACAAAGCCAGCAGGAAGAGCCUGGUUGCGUGUGUGAAUCACUCAGGUUAAACAUUUAAUGUACAUCCACCUACACAAAUAUUUCCUCCUUUCUCUUACUCCAUACCGAAUAUUUCCCCUUCCCACCCCCCAAAUGGAUAAAACAGAUUGAGGACAGAAGGUAACUGCAAAUUAUCCCCAGGAUAACAAAACUACAAGAGUGCUCCAAUUCUUAAGGUUAGUGGUACUCAGGUAUCCUGUUCUCAUUUAACAGAUAUAGCUACAUAACAGAUACAUCAUAAAGUAGCAUCUAUAAAACCAAAAUGCUUAAAGUCUUGGAAGUGGCCUCCAUGGCUAGCUCAGUGUUUAAGACACUUUGAGAAGCCGAUACUGUGAUACAAGUUGGCAGUCAUCAGUGAAAACGAUGAACUAGCUUCCGCUCAACAAAAAGCAACCUACAGAGCAGGCAAUGACAGUCGUUGACAAGUACCAGCUUGAGUCCACUAUGAUGAUCUUCCCCGGAGGGACAUAAGGAACUAAUACCUGAAUAUCACCAUUGCAACGACCACUGGAAUAUACAUAGAUUAAUCUGUCUUGUGGGGAACAUGCUAGGAGUUUCCCCUUGGCUCAGUUAGCAGAUAUCAAUGGAACUGAUGGUCACAUCGAGAACAAGGAUUACUGGGCCACAGACUGAAAUUUGGUUGCUGGCUGAAGGUUGUUAAAACCCUGCUUACUGGAAACACCCCUUUUAAUUUUCUUUCAAAUACCCAAAGGCAACUGUUUCUCUGACUCUAAAUUGUACUCUUUUUUAACCUUACAAUGAAUGGAUUCCCCAAGUUUCCACUACAAAAUUCAGAUUUUCCCUGGAAGCAGGAUUUGUAUUUAUGAAGCCAAACUACCAUCACUAUGACUAGUCUAUGCCAACAGACAAGAAUGUGGAAUUAGGGUCAGUGGAGACACAGACAAUAUCCAUCUUUCUAAUAAAAAAUAAAAACCCUUACAAACAUCUUA